This 389-nucleotide ribosomal RNA is filed under the name uncultured archaeon. Its description in RNAcentral is "bacterial SSU rRNA". It matches the Rfam family "Archaeal small subunit ribosomal RNA", at positions 74 to 464 of the family's 1478-position model. The record is from RNAcentral.
AGCACCGGCGGACGGCUCAGUAACACGUGGACAACCUACCCUCGGGUGGGGGAUAACCUCGGGAAACUGAGGCUAAUACCCCAUAGGUCUCAGGUACUGGAAGGUCCUGAGACUGAAAGCUCCGGCGCCCGAGGAUGGGUCUGCGGCCUAUCAGGUAGUUGGUGGUGUAAAGGACCACCAAGCCUACGACGGGUACGGGCCCUGAGAGGGGUAGCCCGGAGAUGGACUCUGAGACACGAGUCCAGGCCCUACGGGGCGCAGCAGGCGCGAAACCUUCGCAAUGCGCGAAAGCGCGACGAGGGGAGCCCGAGUGCCCUUCCUUUUGGGAGGGCUUUUCCGGAGUCUAAAAAGCUCCGGGAAUAAGGGCUGGGCAAGACGGGUGCCAGCCG